GCAAAUGAAUUAUACAAUUGAGCAUGUUCAUGCAUCAUGAAUGCCAUGUGAUGAAAUAGGUUGUUUGCAUUAGAAUCCACGAAUAUGUUGCAUUGCAUUUAUGAUGUUGAUGUGGAUUGGUUAUUGGAUGACCCUUUAGUCCUCAUAUGAUAUGAUGAUGCUACGGCAUGGUAUGGUAUGGAAGUCCAGGUUGUACCCAUUCUACGUCCCUGGCACUAUGUAAGAGAAAGUCCAGGUUGUACCC
This 244-nucleotide long non-coding RNA is filed under the name Manihot esculenta (cassava). RNAcentral describes it as "long non-coding RNA (MESC_LNC012869)". The record is from RNAcentral. Lineage: Eukaryota; Viridiplantae; Streptophyta; Magnoliopsida; Malpighiales; Euphorbiaceae.